GACGAACGCUGGCGGCGUGCUUAGCACAUGCAAGUCGAACGGAAAGGCCCUGCUUUUGUGGGGUGCUCGAGUGGCGAACGGGUGAGUAACACGUGAGUAACCUGCCCUUGACUUUGGGAUAACUUCAGGAAACUGGGGCUAAUACCGGAUAGGAGCUCCUGCUGCAUGGGGGGGGUUGGAAAGUUUCGGCGGUUGGGGAUGGACUCGCGGCUUAUCCGCUUGUUGGUGGGGUAGUGGCUUACCAAGGCUUUGACGGGUAGCCGGCCUGAGAGGGUGACCGGCCACAUUGGGACUGCGAGACGGACCAGACUCCUACGGGAGGCAGCAGUGGGGAAUAUUGCACAAUGGGCGGAAGCCUGAUGCAGCAACGCCGCGUGCGGGAUGACGGCCUUCGGGUUGUAAACCGCUUUCGCCUGAGACGAAGCGGGAGUGACGGUAAUGAGUAAAGAAGCACCGGCUAACUACGUG
Molecule: ribosomal RNA, 468 nt
Filed under: uncultured bacterium
Lineage: Bacteria
Description: partial 16S ribosomal RNA
Rfam family: Bacterial small subunit ribosomal RNA
Source: RNAcentral